CAAAGGCUUGGUCCUGACUUUAUUAUCAACUUUAGCUAAACUUACACAUGCAAGUAUCCGCACCCCUGUGAGAAUGCCCCACAGUUUCCUUCCCGGAAACAAGGAGCCGGUAUCAGGCACAAACUAUUAGCCCAUGACACCUUGCUUAGCCACACCCUCAAGGGAACUCAGCAGUGAUAGACAUUAAGCCAUAAGUGAAAACUUGACUUAGUUAAAGCUAAAAGGGCCGGUAAAACUCGUGCCAGCCACCGCGGUUAUACGAGAGGCCCGAGUUGAUAAACAACGGCGUAAAGAGUGGUUAAGAGAUUAAAUGACACUAAGGCCGAACACUUUCAAGGCUGUUAUACGCAUCCGAAAGUAAGAAGUCCCAUUACGAAAGUAGCCUUACUUAUCUGAACCCACGAAAGCUAGGGUACAAACUGGGAUUAGAUACCCCACUAUGCCUAGCCCUAAACAUUGAUAGUCCACCACAUUUACUAUCCGCCCGGGGACUACGAGCAGUAGCUUAAAACCCAAAGGACUUGGCGGUGCUUAAGAUCCACCUAGAGGAGCCUGUUCUAGAACCGAUAACCCCCGUUCAACCUCACCCUCUCUUGUUUUCCCCGCCUAUAUACCGCCGUCGUCAGCUUACCCUGUGAAGGAUUAAUAGUAAGCAAAAUUGGCAUAGCCUAAAACGUCAGGUCGAGGUGUAGCGUAUGAGGGGGGAAGAAAUGGGCUACAUUUCCUAAAGUAGGAAACACGGAUACUGCACUGAAACGUGCAUUUGAAGGAGGAUUUAGCAGUAAGCAGAAAAUAGAGCGUCCUGCUGAAACUGGCCCUAAAGCGCGCACACACCGCCCGUCACUCUCCCCAAGCUUUAACCUUUACAUAAUUAAUAAACUAUAACUGCAAAGGGGAGGCAAGUCGUAACAUGGUAAGUGUACCGGAAGGUGCACUUGGAAAAAU
Molecule: non-coding RNA, 945 nt
Filed under: Trichopodus pectoralis (snakeskin gourami)
Lineage: Eukaryota; Metazoa; Chordata; Actinopteri; Anabantiformes; Osphronemidae
Description: 12S ribosomal RNA
Rfam family: Bacterial small subunit ribosomal RNA
Source: RNAcentral